GCGUGAGUGAUGAAGGCCUUAGGGUUGUAAAGCUCUUUCGGCGGGGAAGAUAAUGACGGUACCCGCAGAAGAAGCCCCGGCUAACUCCGUGCCAGCAGCCGCGGUAAUACGGAGGGGGCUAGCGUUGUUCGGAAUUACUGGGCGUAAAGCGCGCGUAGGCGGUUCCAGCAGUCGGGCGUGAAAGCCCCGGGCUCAACCCGGGAAUAGCGCACGAUACUUUGGAGCUAGAGUCCGGGAGAGGAGAGUGGAAUUCCCAGUGUAGAGGUGAAAUUCGU
This 275-nucleotide ribosomal RNA is filed under the name uncultured bacterium. RNAcentral describes it as "partial 16S ribosomal RNA". It matches the Rfam family "Bacterial small subunit ribosomal RNA", at positions 399 to 691 of the family's 1533-position model. The record is from RNAcentral.